UACGUAGGGUGCAAGCGUUGUCCGGAAUUAUUGGGCGUAAAGAGCUCGUAGGCGGUCUGUCGCGUCGGCUGUGAAAUCCCGAGGCUCAACCUCGGGUCUGCAGUCGAUACGGGCAAACUAGAGUAUUGCAGGGGAGACUGGAAUUCCUGGUGUAGCGGUGAAAUGCGUAGAUAUCGAGAGGAACACCGGUGGCGAAGGCGGGUCUCUGGGCAGUAACUGACGCUGAGGAGCGAAAGCGUGGGGAGCGAACAGG
Molecule: ribosomal RNA, 253 nt
Filed under: uncultured bacterium
Lineage: Bacteria
Description: partial 16S ribosomal RNA
Rfam family: Bacterial small subunit ribosomal RNA
Source: RNAcentral